AUACGUAGGGUGCAAGCGUUAAUCGGAAUUACUGGGCGUAAAGCGUGCGCAGGCGGUUUUGUAAGACAGUGGUGAAAUCCCCGGGCUCCACCUGGGAACUGCCAUUGUGACUGCAAGGCUGGAGUGCGGCAGAGGGGGAUGGAAUUCCGCGUGUAGCAGUGAAAUGCGUAGAUAUGCGGAGGAACACCGAUGGCGAAGGCAAUCCCCUGGGCCUGCACUGACGCUCAUGCACGAAAGCGUGGGGAGCAAACAGGAUUAGAUACCCUGGUAGUCCACGCCCUAAACGAUGUCAACUGGUUGUUGGGGAUUUAUUUUCUCAGUAACGAAGCUAACGCGUGAAGUUGACCGCCUGGGGAGUACGGCCGCAAGGUUAAAACUCAAAUGAAUUGACGGGG
Molecule: ribosomal RNA, 395 nt
Filed under: uncultured bacterium
Lineage: Bacteria
Description: partial 16S ribosomal RNA
Rfam family: Bacterial small subunit ribosomal RNA
Source: RNAcentral